This 2741-nucleotide long non-coding RNA is filed under the name Homo sapiens (human). RNAcentral's name for it is "HSALNT0116781". Lineage: Eukaryota; Metazoa; Chordata; Mammalia; Primates; Hominidae. The record is from RNAcentral.
CUUUCCUGUUGUUGAGCACACCACAAGGAGGUCAUGCCCCAGACAGCUGCUGUCCCUUCCGGGUGGGUCCGGACGAGACGUGGAGAAACCUGAGCCCAGCCUGGGGUCUGGGGCUCCUGACCCACAGCCUGAGGCCACGCUGUCCAGUCAACCCACUGAGCCAGGUCAUUUCUCGUGGUGACUGGAGAAAGCUCUCUACAGAAACGCCUGUCAUCCAUGCCUUCACCUACGCGAGAGCAUCCUCUGCUCCCUAGACCACACCAGGACAGUUCUGCACGGACCUAAGGAGCUCACAGCCCAGCCCCCUCCCCGGGGAAAUCUCUGCACUCCGGACUGGUAAUUUCCAGGGCAUGGUCUGCCUUUCUCAGCUUCGUGGGAAGCACCUUUGGUUCAGCCUCGCUGGUGAGGGUGGAGGCUGCCUCCCGUCCCCUCCUUGUUCACCAGCAGGCGUCAGCAGGGCUGCUAUUGGACCCCUUUAGACCAAGGCGCAACCUGGCUCCUCUGUUCUCAACAGGAUCAGAAAUGUCACGCAGGUCGUAUCUGGAGUGGUUCUCUUUUUCCCUUUUGUGGAGGGUUAGAGUGGUAUUCACACCUAGGCACGUCUACGUCUGAAAUCUGUGAUAGACUGAAUGUGUCUCCCUCCCAAAUUCAAGUGCUAACCCUCGGACCCCAGAAUGUGAUUGCAUUUGGAGACAGGGCCUUUAAGGAGGUGAUCGAGUUAAAUGAGGUCAUAUGUGUCCCCUAAUCCAUCGUGACUGGUCCUUAUUAGAGGAGAUGAGGACACUGACACAUGGGACGACGGCCACAGGAGGACACAGGGGAAGACGGCUGUCUACACAGCAAGGAGAGAGUCUGCAGGGGACACCAGUCCCGCCAAUACCUUGACCCUGGACUUCCAGCCUCCAGGACUGAGAGAGAACAGCUGAACAGAUUCAGAGGUCCACUACGUGGCACGUAGCAGCCAUUCAUUCACUCACUGUGCCUGCUCCCUUGAGCCUGGCUGUAAUCUGGCUGAUAACAUUCAUUCAUUCAUUCAUUCAUUCAUUCAUCAGGUAUUUCCUGUGGGCCUACCAUGUGCCAGGCAUGGGCUAGGUUGGUUCUGGGGUAAAAAUGGUCCUUUGCCCAAGCUACUGAUGGAAUCACAGAGACGAUGGGGAAAAUCAGUGAGUAAACAAGCUGAAGACGGAAGGCAGAGACUCGGAGCAGAGCCCGACCAUUCUGCUGGUGUGGGGAGAGGGUGGAAGCCUUGUCCAGGGAGGUGGAGAGGCCACAGCAGGAGAAGCAUGCCCAGGCUGAGACCAGAAGGAUGAGAGGGACCAGAAGGAGGAAGAGCUGGACUGGGACAGGGUGAGGUUGUGGUCGGCUUAAGUGGCUGCCAGUGGCUCAGUUCAUCUGCAGAAAGCAGCAGGGAGAAGGGUGAAAGGAGACUGGGGAUGGAGAAUCAGGGCCACCCCUUACAACCCUGUCUUAGGGUGUGGCCUUGGUCCACGGGGAGCAGGAAGUCAGGAGCGGUGUCAGGCAGGAGGGCAGUGGGCGUAGGUUCCUUGUGACCUGUGAGCAGAGAGGGGCUGAAAGCCGGGCCUGGUCCAUGCUAAGGGGUGCGAAGGGGAGAGCAUUUUCCACCAGGGCUCAGGUGGUGUCAUCAGGGAUGGGGCAGGGGCAGCGGCAGGGCCCUGAGAGCUGUGCCACUUCGUGAUGCCACUGCGACCCUUGCCACUGUGUUUCAGGGGUGCAAUGCUGCAGGUGAAAUUGAUGCAGACCCAGGCUUCAGACCUGUUCUCCUAGACUGCAGUGGUGCGAUGACAGCUCACUGCAGCCUUGACCUCUGGGUUCAAGAGAUCCUCCUGCCUCAGCCUCCCAAGUAGCUGGCACACGCCACCACACCUGGCUAUUUUCUUUUAAUUUUUUAUUUGUUUGUAGGGACAGGGUCUCACCAUGUUGCCCAGGCUGGUCUCCAACUCCUGGGCUCAAGCGAAUCUCCCACUUCAGCCUCCCACAGUGCUGGGAUUACAGGUGUGAGCCACCAUGCCUGGCCUAGUUUGGGUAACUUUGAGUCACCUGAAGAGUCAGCCUCAGCCCCAGAGGGUUCUCCCUUCCCCAGGGUGCUGUGUUUGCAUGGGAGCACAGAACCAUUGCCCCUGCAGGGCUUUUCAGUGGAACCGAGUGUCCCCACACGAGCUUUGUCUCCGGAUGCACACGAGGAGAUUCUGCAGCACAGUGGAGCCGAUUAAGCCAUUACAGCUUUCCAGAGGGAAAAGAAAAUUUAGGACGUGUAGAAACUAAGUCUUUGCCCACAAUCAAGUUUCCAUUCAAAUUAUGAGAAGGAAGUGAUUGAAUGAGAAUGAGAUGACCUUCCCCUUCCCCCAUGGAUUUUCCUCCCUCUGGCUCUCUCUGCUCCUGACACGAGCACUGCACCAAGGCGACAGCCCUGGGCACCCAGGCUGACUCCUGCACUCGGGCACGGACCUCACGGCUGGGCUGACUCCCGCACUCGGGCGCUGAGCUCAUGGCCGGUUCUGAAGAACUCUGGUUCUGCUCAUGCCCCACAUCAAAAUGGCCAAGUCUUCAGAUUUGGGAUUUCCCAAGCCAAAAGUAUUUUCAUAGAAUUGUAUUUCAAUAUUUACAUUAUCUUUAAAGAAAGUCCAGCUAAAAAUCAAAAAUAAAUAAAAAUGUAAAAAAUAAAACAAUCCCAGAGAGAAGUGGGGUCUACUUGAAUGCAAUGCAACAUGAAGUGGACAUCU